Small nucleolar RNA from Larimichthys crocea (large yellow croaker), 82 nucleotides. NCBI's taxonomy places the organism in Eukaryota, Metazoa, Chordata, Actinopteri, Sciaenidae. The record is from Ensembl.
UCUGUCUAUGAUGAUCAGCUAUCUGCCUUGAUUGAGUUUAACGACCAUGAGAAAACCUUCAUGCACUACCAUCUGAGACAGG